UGGGGAAUUUUGCGCAAUGGAGGAAACUCUGACGCAGCGACGCCGCGUGGGUGACGAAGGCCUUCGGGUUGUAAAGCCCUGUCGGCUGGGAACAAGAUAGUCGUGCUAAUACCACGAUUGUUUGAGGGUACCAGCAAAGGAAGCACCGGCUAACUCUGUGCCAGCAGCCGCGGUAAUACAGAGGGUGCUAGCGUUGUUCGGAAUUACUGGGCGUAAAGCGCACGUAGGCGGCUUACCAAGUCAGAUGUGAAAUUUCGGGGCUUAACUCCGAACGUGCAUUUGAAACUGGUAGGCUAGAGUACAUUAGAGGUUGGUGGAAUACACAGUGUAGAGGUGAAAUUCGUAGAUAUUGUGUGGAACACCGGUGGCGAAGGCGGCCAACUGGGAUGUAACUGACGCU
RNAcentral lists this ribosomal RNA (400 nucleotides) under uncultured bacterium. Its description in RNAcentral is "bacterial SSU rRNA". It matches the Rfam family "Bacterial small subunit ribosomal RNA", at positions 355 to 747 of the family's 1533-position model. The record is from RNAcentral.